GACGAACGCUGGCGGCGUGCCUAACACAUGCAAGUCGAACGGAAAGGCCUGCUUUCCCUUGUGGUUUGCGGGCACUCGAGUGGCGAAUGGGUGAGUAACACGUGAGUGAUCUGCCCUCAACUUGGGUAUAAGCCUGUGAAACUGGGUCUAAUUUCCGAUAGGACUGGAGGGUGGUGCCUGCGGUGGAAUAUGAUUUUCUAGUGGUUGGGGAUGAGUUCGCGGCCUAUGAGCUUGCUGGCGGGGUAAUGGUCUACGAAGGCAGUGACGGGUAGCUAGCCGGAGAUGAUGGACAGCGGCAUUGAGACUGGGUUACGACCCAGACUCGUGCGGGAAGCAGCGGUGAGUGGUAAUGGACAGUGAGCGUGAGCCUGAUGCAGCGACGCUGCGUAGAAGAUGACGGCCUUCGGGAUGUAAACUCCUUUCGACCGCGGGGAAGCCGCCUAGAUGUAGGGGUGGUGACGGUAGUGGUAGAAGAAGCACCGGCUAACUACGUG
RNAcentral lists this ribosomal RNA (494 nucleotides) under uncultured bacterium. RNAcentral describes it as "partial 16S ribosomal RNA". It matches the Rfam family "Bacterial small subunit ribosomal RNA", at positions 28 to 507 of the family's 1533-position model. The record is from RNAcentral.